RNAcentral lists this ribosomal RNA (253 nucleotides) under uncultured bacterium. RNAcentral's name for it is "partial 16S ribosomal RNA". It matches the Rfam family "Bacterial small subunit ribosomal RNA", at positions 524 to 776 of the family's 1533-position model. The record is from RNAcentral.
UACGUAGGUGGCAAGCGUUGUCCGGAAUUAUUGGGCGUAAAGCGCGCGCAGGCGGCCUUUUAAGUCUGAUGUGAAAGCCCACGGCUCAACCGUGGAAGGCCAUUGGAAACUGAAAGGCUUGAGUACAGAAGAGGAAAGCGGAAUUCCACGUGUAGCGGUGAAAUGCGUAGAUAUCUGGAGGAACACCGGUGGCGAAGGCGGCAUCCUGGACCGGUAUUGACGCUGAGGCGCGAAAGCUAGGGGAGCAAACGGG